Molecule: ribosomal RNA, 253 nt
Filed under: uncultured bacterium
Lineage: Bacteria
Description: partial 16S ribosomal RNA
Rfam family: Bacterial small subunit ribosomal RNA
Source: RNAcentral
UACGUAGGGUGCAAGCGUUGUCCGGAAUUAUUGGGCGUAAAGAGCUCGUAGGCGGUUUGUCGCGUCUGCUGUGAAAACCCGAGGCUCAACCUCGGGCCUGCAGUGGGUACGGGCAGACUAGAGUGCGGUAGGGGGAGAUUGGAAUUCCCGGUGUAGCGGUGGAAUGCGCAGAUAUCAGGAGGAACACCAAUGGCGAAGGCAGAUCUCUGGGCCGUAACUGACGCUGAGGAGCGAAAGCAUGGGAGCGAACAGG